UGGUUCUCACCCAGGAAGACAACAUUGUCUAUGCCUCCCUUUCCCUCUCCAACUUGACCUUGCCAGGAGCAGCUCCUAGCCACACUCUUCAAGGGGGCUCCCCAGAAAAGAGCCUAUAUUCUGUUCUGAAGACCUAAAGAGUGGGGUUGAAAUGAUGAUCUUAGAUUCAACUAUGCUUAGGGCUGGAGGUGUGGCUCAGCGGUAGAGCACUUGCCUAGCACAUGCAAGGACCUGAGUUCGAUCAUCAGCACUACAUAAAAAAUAAA
Molecule: long non-coding RNA, 266 nt
Filed under: Marmota monax (woodchuck)
Lineage: Eukaryota; Metazoa; Chordata; Mammalia; Rodentia; Sciuridae
Source: RNAcentral